This 449-nucleotide ribosomal RNA is filed under the name uncultured bacterium. Its description in RNAcentral is "partial 16S ribosomal RNA". It matches the Rfam family "Bacterial small subunit ribosomal RNA", at positions 29 to 523 of the family's 1533-position model. The record is from RNAcentral.
AACGAACGCUGGCGGCAGGCCUAACACAUGCAAGUCGAACGCCCUAGCAAUAGGGAGUGGCGCACGGGUGCGUAACACGUGGGAAUGUACCCCAGGGUAAGGAAUAAUGUCUGGAAACGGACACUAAUACCUUAUAAUGACUUUGGUCCAAAGAUUUAUCGCCCUGGGAUCAGCCCGCGUCUGAUUAGCUAGUUGGUGAGGUAAUGGCUCACCAAGGCAACGAUCAGUAGCUGGUCUGAGAGGAUGAUCAGCCACACUGGAACUGAGACACGGUCCAGACUCCUACGGGAGGCAGCAGUGAGGAAUAUUGCACAAUGGAGGAAACUCUGAUGCAGCCAUGCCGCGUGAGUGAAGAAGGCCUUCGGGUUGUAAAGCUCUUUUAGUCGUGAAGAUAAUGACGGUAGCGACAGAAAAAGCCCCGGCUAAAUUCGUGCCAGCCGCCGCAGUAA